GUUCAUGCUGACACAGAAUAACUAAGCUGAUCGCAUGGGCUUGUCCCGGCGACGUAUCGUUCGAGUAUCUGCCUUAUCAACUUUCGAUGGUAGUGUACGUGACUACCAUGGUUGUGACGGGUAACGGAGGAUAAGGGUUCGACUCCGGAGAAGGGGCCUGAGAAAUGGCCACUACGUCUAAGGAUGGCAGCAGGCGCGCAAAUUACCCACUCUCGGUUCGAGGAGGUAGUGACGAGACAUAACAAGGUCGUUCUCUACGAGGCCGACCAUUGGAAUGGGUACAACUCAAACCCUUUAACGAGUAUCAAUGAGAGGGCAAGUCUGGUGCCAGCAGCCGCGGUAAUUCCAGCUCUCAAAAUGCAUAGAAUUAUUGCUGCGGUUAAAAAGCUCGUAGUUGGAUUUGUGCCGGCGCCAUGGUCCACCCUAACGGGCGGCACUGUGUGCGUCGGCUUUGGGCCGGUCUUCUGGCCGGGUGCCUUCACUGGCGCUCCGGUCGUGGCUGGCUGGUUUACUUUGAGCAAAGCAGAGUGCUCAGCACAGGCGUUUCGCCGGAAUGUUCGUGCAUGGAAUAAUAGAACAGGAUCACGGUCCUCUUUUAUUGGUUUUGUGGACUGAGAUAAUGGUUAACAGAGACGAACGGGGGCAUUCGUAUUGCUGCGUGAGAGGUGAAAUUCUUGGACCGCAGCAGGACGGACUACAGCGAAAGCAUUUGCCAAGCGCGUCUUCAUUAAUCAAGAACGAAAGUCAGAGGUUCGAAGGCGAUCAGAUACCGCCCUAGUUCUGACCGUAAACGAUGCCAACUAGCGAUCCGCCGGUGGCCUUCUGGCCCUGGUGGGGAGCUUCCCGGAAACGAAAGUCUUCCGGUUCCGGGGGAAGUAUGGUUGCAAAGCUGAAACUUAAAGGAAUUGACGGAAGGGCACCACCAGGAGUGGAGCCUGCGGCUUAAUUUGACUCAACACGGGAAAACUCACCCGGCCCGGACACCGUGAGGAUUGACAGAUUGAUAGCUUUUUCAUGAUUCGG
RNAcentral lists this ribosomal RNA (1023 nucleotides) under Lobocriconema iranense. RNAcentral describes it as "SSU rRNA". It matches the Rfam family "Eukaryotic small subunit ribosomal RNA", at positions 239 to 1270 of the family's 1831-position model. The record is from RNAcentral. Lineage: Eukaryota; Metazoa; Nematoda; Chromadorea; Rhabditida; Criconematidae.